AGUGGCGGACGGGUGAGUAACGCGUGGGUAACCUACCUCAUACAGGGGGAUAACAGUUGGAAACGACCGCUAAUACCGCAUAACCCGCUAGUAUCGCAUGAUACAGACGGAAAAGAUUUAUCGGUAUGAGAUGGACCCGCGUCUGAUUAGCCAGUUGGCAGGGUAACGGCCUACCAAAGCAACGAUCAGUAGCCGGCCUGAGAGGGUGAACGGCCACAUUGGGACUGAGACACGGCCCAAACUCCUACGGGAGGCAGCAG
This 260-nucleotide ribosomal RNA is filed under the name uncultured bacterium. RNAcentral describes it as "partial 16S ribosomal RNA". It matches the Rfam family "Bacterial small subunit ribosomal RNA", at positions 94 to 354 of the family's 1533-position model. The record is from RNAcentral.